This 55-nucleotide transfer RNA is filed under the name Physaloptera rara. RNAcentral's name for it is "tRNA-Arg". The record is from RNAcentral. Lineage: Eukaryota; Metazoa; Nematoda; Chromadorea; Rhabditida; Physalopteridae.
AGUACUUAAAUGGAUUAACCAUGUUUGAUUACGGAUCAAAAUUUUUUAAGUAUUU